Molecule: ribosomal RNA, 440 nt
Filed under: uncultured bacterium
Lineage: Bacteria
Description: partial 16S ribosomal RNA
Rfam family: Bacterial small subunit ribosomal RNA
Source: RNAcentral
CCUACGGGCGGCUGCAGUAGGGAAUAUUGCUCAAUGGGGGAAACCCUGAAGCAGCAACGCCGCGUGGAGGAUGAAGGUUUUCGGAUUGUAAACUCCUUUUGUUAGAGAAGAUAAUGACGGUAUCUAACGAAUAAGCACCGGCCAACUCCGUGCCAGCAGCCGCGGUAAUACGGCGGGUGCAAGCGUUACUCGGAAUCACUGGGCGUAAAGAGCGCGUAGGCGGGAUAGCAAGUCAGAUGUGAAAUUCUAUGGGUUAAACAUAGUACUGCAUUUGAAACUGUUAUUCUUGAGUGUGCGAGAGGUAGGUGGAAUUCUUGGUGUAGGGGUAAAAUCCGUAGAGAUCAAGAAGAAUACUGAUUGCGAAGGCGGCCUGCUGGAGCGUAACUGACGCUGAUGCACGAAAGCGUGGGGAGCAAACAGGAUUAGAUACCCCUGUAGUC